This 9169-nucleotide long non-coding RNA is filed under the name Malus domestica (apple). RNAcentral describes it as "long non-coding RNA (MDOM_LNC009780)". The record is from RNAcentral. Lineage: Eukaryota; Viridiplantae; Streptophyta; Magnoliopsida; Rosales; Rosaceae.
AUAUGUUCUUGAUGCAUUUUUUUUCUCUGAACAUAAAUCGAAAUAGGUCAAGAAGAAAUAGGUGAUGAGCAUCAAGACAGCGAAAAGCCCCUCAAUAAGUCUAUUAGUUGAAUGCUGAACUAUAAUUAAAUACAGCACUAUGCUCUGCAAGACGAGAAAAUGCCCUCCUUAAUGGAUACACCAAAACGAAAAGAACUAAAGUUGUCAGAUUUUUUUUUGGGAAACUAACUAAAGUUGUCUGUUUGAUAAAUGUUCUUGAUGCAUUUUUUUCUCUGAACAUAAAUCGAAAUAGGUCAAGAAGAAAUAAGUCAUGAGCAUCAAGACAUCAAAGAGCUACCCAGUAAGUCUAUAAGCUUAAUGCUAAGCUACAAUUAAAUACUGCACUAUGCUCUACAAUACAAGAAUAUGCCCCCUUGAUGGAUCAACAAAAUGAAAAGCACUAAAGUUGUCUGAAUUUUUUUUUUUGGGAAACUAACUAAAGUUGUCUUAUUGAUAUAUGUUCUUGAUGCAUUUUUUUCUCUGAACAAAAAUGGAAAUAGGUCAAGAAGAAGUAGGUGAUGAGCAGAGAAACACGAAAGGUCAAGAAGAAAUAGAUGAUGAGCAGAGAAACACGAAAGAUCUAGGCAUGCAGAAGAAAACAGAAACAAAGAGGAAGAAAAAGGGAAAAAUAGGUGAUGAGCAUCCAGACACCAUAAAAAAAUUGGGUAUGAUCGGAUUGAGCUAUGGAUUUUCGUUAGGUAUGUCAAGCGAAGAGCUCCCCAGUAUAUCUAUAAGCUGAAUGCUGAGCUACAAUUAAAUACUACACUAUGCUCUGCAAUACGAGAAUAUGCCCUCCUUGAUCGAUACACCAAAACGAAAAGAACUAAAGUUGUCUGAUUUUUUUUUUUUGGAUACUAACUAAUGUUGUAUGAUUGAUAUAUGUUCUUGAUGCAUUUUUUUUCUCUGAACAUAAAUCCAAAUAGGUCAAGAAGAAAUAGGUGAUGAGCAUCAAGAUAGCGAAGAGCCCCUCAGUAAGUCUAUAAGCUGAAUGCUGAACUAUAAUUAAAUACUGCACUAUGCUCUGCAAUACGAGAAUAUGCCCUCCUUGAUGGAUACACCAAAACGAAAAGAACUAAAGUUGUCAGAUUUUUUUUUUGGGAAACUAACUAAAGUUGUCUGUUUGAUAAAUGUUCUUGAUGCAUUUUUUUCUCUGAACAUAAAUCGAAAUAGGUCAAGAAGAAAUAGGUCAUGAGCAUCAAGACAGCAAAGAGCUACCCAGUAAGUCUAUAAGCUUAAUGCUAAGCUACAAUUAAAUACUGCACUAUGCUCUACAAUAUGAGAAUAUGCCCCCUUGAUGGAUACACCAAAAUGAAAAGCACUAAAGUUGUCUGAAAUUUUUUUUUUUUUUGGGAAACUAACUAAAGUUGUCUUAUUGAUAUAUGUUCUUGAUGCAUUGUUUUCUCUGAACAAAAAUGGAAAUAGGUCAAGAAGAAGUAGGUGAUGAGCAGAGAAACACAAAAGGUCAAGAAGAAAUAGAUGAUGAGCAGAGAAACACGAAAGAUCUAGGCAUGCAGAAGAACAGAGAAACAAAGAGGAAGAAAAAGGAAAAAAUAGGUGAUGAGCAUCCAGACACCGUAAAACAAUUGGGUAUGAUCGGAUUGAGCUAUGGAUUUUCGUUAGGUAUGUCAAGCGAAGAGCUCCCCAGUAAGUCUAUAAGCUGAAUGCUGAGCUACAAUUAAAUACUGCACUAUACUCUGCAAUACGAGAAUAUGCCCUCCUUGAUCGAUACACCAAAACGAAAAGAACUAAAGUUGUCUGAUUUUUUUUUUUGGGAAACUAACUAAUGUUGUAUGAUUGAUAUAUGUUCUUGAUGCAUUUUUUUUCUCUGAACAUAAAUCGAAAUAGGUCAAGAAGAAAUAGGUGAUGAGCAUCAAGAUAGCGAAGAGCUCCCGAGUAAGUCUAUAAGCUGAAUGCUGAGCUACAAUUAAAUACUGCACUAUGCUCUACAAUACGAGAAUAUGCCACCCUUUAUGCAUACACCAAAAUGAAAAGAACUAAAGCUGUCUGAUUUUUUUGUGUUUUGGGAAACUAACUAUUGUCAGAUUGAUAUAUGUUCUUGAUGCAUUGUUUUCUCUGAACGUAAAUCGAAAUAGGUCAAGAAGAAAUAGGUGAUGAGCAGAGAAACACGAAAGGUCAAGAAGAAAUAGGUGAUGAGCAGAGAAACACGAAAGAUCAAGGCAGGCGGAAGAACACAGAAACAAAGAAGAAGAAAAAGGAAAAAAUAGGUGAUGAGAAUCCGGACACUGUCAAAAAAUUGGGUAUGUUCGGAUUGAACUAUGGAUUUCCGUUGGAUAUGUCUAGCGAAGAGUUCCCAAGUAAGUUUAUAAGCUGAAUAUUGAGCUACAAUUAAAUACUGCACUAUACUCUGCAAUACAAGAAUAUGCCCCCUUGAUGGAUACUCCAAAACGAAAAUAACUACAGUUGUCAGAUUUUUUUAAUUUUUAUUUUAUUGGGAAACUAACUAAAGUUGUCUGAUUGAUAUAUGUUCUUAAUGCAUUUUUUUUUAUGAACAUAAAUCGAAAUAGGUCAAGAAGAAAUAGGUGAUGAGCAUCAAGACAGCGAAGAGCUUUCCAGUAAGUCUAUAAGUUGAAUGCUGAGCUACAAUUAAAUACUACACUAUACUCUGCAAUACAAGAAUAUGCCCUCUUUGAUGGAUACACCAAAACGAAAAGAACUAAAGUUGUCUAAUUUUUUUAUUUUUUAUUUUUUUGGGAAACGAGCUAAAGUUGUCUGAUUGAUAUAUGUUCUUGAUGCAAUUUUUUCUCUGAACAUAAAUUGAAAUAGGUGAUGAGCAUCAAGACAACGAAGUGCUCCCCAGUAAGUCUAUAAGCUGAAUGCUAAGCUACAAUUAAAUAUUGCACUAUGCUCUGCAAUACGCGAAUAUGCCCCCUUGAUGGAUAUAGACCAAAAUGAAAAGCACUAAAGUUAUCUGAUUUUUUUUUUUGGGAAAAUAACUAAACUUAUUUUAUUGAUAAUUGUUCUUGAUGCAUUUUUUUCUCCGAACAUAAAUUGAAAUAGGUCAAGAAGAAAUAGGUCAUGAGCACCAAGACAGCGAAAAGCUCCCCAGUAAGUCUAUAUGCUGAAUGUUGAGCUACAAUUAAAUACUGCACCAUGCUCUGCAAUAUGAGAAUAUGUCUUCCUUAAUGGAUACACCAAAACGGAAAGAACUAAAGUUGUCUGAUUUUUUUUUUUUGGGAAACUAACUAAAGUUGUUUGAUUGAUAUAUGUUCUUGAUGCAUUUUUUUCUCUGAACAUAAAUCGAAAUAGGUCAAGAAGAAAUAGGUGACGAGCAGAGAAACACGAAAGGUCAAGAAGAUAUAGGUGAUGAGAAGAGAAACACGAAAGAUCAAGGCAGGCGGAAGAACACAGAAACAAAGAGGAAGAAAAAGGAAAAACUAGGUGACGAGCUUCCAUACACCCUCAAAAACUUGGGUACGCUCGGAUUGAGCUAUGGAUUUUCGUUGGGUAUGUCAAGCAAAGAGCUCCCUAAUAAGUCUAUAAGCUGAAUACUGAGCUACAAUUAAAUAUUGCACUAUGCUCUGCAAUACGAGAAUAUGCCCCCUUGAUCGAUACACCAAAACGAAAAGAACUAAAGUUGUGUGAUUUUUUUGUUUGUUUUUGGGAUACUAACUAAAGUUGUCUGAUUGAUAUACGUUCUUGAUGCAUUUUUUUUCUUUGAACAUAAAUCGAAAUAGGUCAAGAAGUAAUAGGUGAUGAGCAUCAAGACAGCGAAGAGCUCCUCAGUAAGUCUAUAAUCUGAAUGCUGAGCUAUAAUUAAAUACUCUACUAUGCUCAGCAAUACGAGAAUAUGCCCUCCUUGAUGGAUACACCAAAACGAAAAGAACUAAAGUUGUCUGAUUUUUUUGGGAAACUAACUAAAGUUGUCUGAUUGAUAAAUGUUCUUGAUGCAUUUUUUUCCCUGAACAUAAAUCGAAAUAGGUCAAGAAGAAAUAGGCCAUGAGCAUCAAGACAGCGAAGAGCUACCCAGUAAGUCUAUAAGCUGAAUACUAAUGGAUACACCAAAACAAAAAGCACUAAAGUUGUCUGAAUUAUUUUUUUUGGGAAACUAACAAAAGUUGUCUUAUUGAUAUAUGUUCUUGACGCAUUUUUUUCUCUGAACAAAAAUCGAAAUAGGUAAAGAAGAAGUAGGUGAUGAGCAGAGAAACACGAAAGGUCAAGAAGAAAUAGGUGAUGAGCAGAGAAACACGAAAGCUCAAGGCAGGCAGAAGAACACAGAAACAAAGAGCAAGAAAAAGGAAAAAAUAGGUGUUGAGCAUCCAAACACCGUAAAAACAUUGGGUAUGCUCGGAUUGAGCUAUGGAUUUUCGUUAGGUAUGUCGAGCGAAGUGCUCCCCAAUAAGUCUAUAAGCUGAAUGCUAAGCUACAAUUAAAUACUGCACUAUGCUCCACAAUAUGAGAAUAUGCCAUCCUUGAUCGAUACACCAAAACGAAAAGAACUAAAGUUGUCUGAUUUUUUUUUUUUGGAUACUAACUAAAGUUGUAUGAUUGAUAUAUGUUCUUGAUGCAUUUUUUUUCUCUGAACAUAAAUCGAAAUAGGUCAAGAAGAAAUAGGUGAUGAGCAUCAAGAUAGCGAAGAGCUCCCGAGUAAGUCUAUCAGCUGAAUGCUGAGCUACAAUUAAAUACUGCACUAUGCUCUACAAUACGAGAAUAUGUCACCCUUUAUGGAUACACCAAAACGAAAAGAACUAAAGCUGUCUGAUAUUUUUUUUUUUUUGGGAAACUAACUAAAGUUGUUAGAUUGAUAUAUGUUCUUGAUGCAUUGUUUUCUCUGAACAUAAAUCAAAAUAGGUCAAGAAGAAAUAGGUGAUGAGCAAAGAAACAUGAAAGGUCAAGAAGAAAUAGGUGAUGAGCAGAGAAACACGAAAGAUCAAGGCAGGCGGAAGAACACAGAAACAAAGAAGAAGAAAAAGGAAAAAAUAGGUGAUGAGAAUCCGGACAUUGUAAAAAAAUUGGGUAUGUUCGGAUUGAGCUAUGGAUUUCCGUUGGAUAUGUCAAGCGAAGAGCUCCCCAGUAAGUCUAUAAGCUGAAUGUUAAGCUACAAUUAAAUGCUGCAUUAUACUCUGCAAUACAAGAAUAUGCCCUUCUUGAUGGAUACUCCAAAACGAAAAUAACUACAGUUGUCUGAUUUUUUUAUUUUUUAUUUUUUUGGGAAACUAACUAAAGUUGUCUUAUUGAUAUAUGUUUUUGAUGCAUUUUUUUCUCUGAACAUAAAUCGAAAUAGGUCAAGAAGAAAUAGGUGAUGAGCAGAGAAACACGAAAGGUCAAGAAGAAAUAGGUGAUGAGCAGAGAAACACUAAAGAUCAAGGCAGGCAGAAGAACACAGAAACAACGAGGAAGAAAAAGGAAAAAAUAGGUGAUGGGAAUCCGAACACCGUAAAAAAAUUAGGUAUGUUCGGAUUGAGCUAUGGAUUUCCGUCGGAUAUGUCAAGCGAAGAGCUCCCCAGUAAGUCUAUAAGCUGAAUGCCGAGCUACAAUUAAAUACUGCACUAUGCUUUGCAAUACGAGAAUAUGCCCUCCUUGAUGGAUACACCAAAAUGAAAAGAACUAAAGUUGUCUGAUUUUUUUUUUGGGAAACUAACAAAAGGUGUCCGACUGAUAUAUGUUCUUGAUGCAUUUUUUUCUCCGAUCAUAAAUCAAAAUAGGUCAAGAAGAAAUAGGUGAUGAGCAUCAAGACAAUGAAGAGCUUCCCAGUAAGUUUAUAAGCUGAAUGCUGAGCUACAAUUAAAUACUGCACUAUGCUCUGCAACACAAGAAUAUGCCUUCCUCGAUGGAUACACCAAAACGAAAAGAACUAAAUCUAUCUGAUUUUUUAUUUUUUUGGGUAACUAACGAAAGUUAUCUAAUUGAUAUAUGUUCUUGAUGCAUUUUUUUCUCUGAACAUAAAUCGAAAUAGGUCAAGAAGAAAUAGGUGAUGAGCAGAGGAACACAAAAGGUCAAGAAGAAAUAGAUGAUGAGCAAAGAAACACGAAAGAUCAAGGCAGGCGGAAGAACACAGAAACAAACAGGAAGAAAAAAGAAAAAAUAAGUGAUGAGCAUCCAAACGCCGUCAAAAAAUUGGGUAUGUUCGGAUUGAGCUAUGGAUUUCCGUUGGGUAUGUCAAGCAAAGAGCCCCCCAAUAAGUAUAUAACUUGAAUGCGGUGCUACAAUUAAAUACUGCAUUAUGCUCUGCAAUAUGAGAAUAUGCCCUCCUUGAUUGAUACACCAAAAUGAAAAGAACUGAAGUUUUCUGAUUGAUAUAUGAUCUUGAUGCAUUUUUUUUUCUUUGAACAUAAAUCGAAAUAGGUCAAGAAGAAAUAGUUGAUGAGCAUCAAGACAGCAAAGAGCUCCCUAGUAAGUCUAUAAGCUGGAUGCUAAGCUACAAUUAAAUACUGGACUAUGCUCUGCAAUACGGGAAUAUGCCUUCCUUGAUGGAUACACCAAAACGAAAAGAACUAAAGUUGUCUGAUUUUUUUUUUUUGGGAAACUAAGUAAAGUUGUCUAAUUGAUAUAUGUUCUUGAUGCAUUUUUUUCUCUCAACAUAAAUCGAAAUAGGUCAAGAAGAAACACGUGAUGAGCAGAGAAACACGAAAGAUGAAGGCGGGCGGAAGAACACUGAAACAAAGAGGAAGAAAAAGGAAAAAAUGGGUGAUAAGCAUCCAGACAAUGUCAAAAAAUUGGGUAUGUUCGGAUUGAGCUAUGGAUUUCCGUUGGGUAUGUCAAGCGAAGUGCUCCCUAGUAAGUCUAUAAGCUGAAUGCUGAGCUACAGUUAAAUACUGCAUCAUGCUCUGCAAUAUGGGAAUAUGCCCUCCUUGAUCGAUACACCAAAACGAAAGAAGCUAAAGUUGUUUGAUUUUUUUUUUUGUGGGAAACUAACUAAAGUUGUCUGAUUGAUAUAUGUUCUUGAUGCAUUUUUUUCUCUGAACAUAAAUCGAAAUAGGUCAAGAAGAAAUAGGUGAUGAGCAUCAAGACAACAAAGAGCUCCCCAGUAAGUCAAUAAGCUGAAUGCUGAGCUACAAUUAAAUACUGCACUAUGCUCUGCUAUACGAGAUUAUGCCUUCCUUGAUGGAUACACCAAAAUGAAAAGAAAUAAAGUGGUUUGAUUUUUUUUUUUUGGAAACUAACUAAUGUUGUCUGAUUGAUAUAUGUUCCUAAUGCAUUUUUUACUCUGAACAUAAAUUGAAAUAGGUCAAGAAGAAAUAGGCGAUGAGCAUCAAGACAGCGAAGAGCUCCCCAGUAAGUCUAUUUGCUAAAUGCUGAGCUACAAUUUAAUACUGCACUAUGCUCUGCCCUCCUUGAUGGAUACACCAAAACGAAAAUGACUAAAGUUGUCUGAUUUUUUAUUUUUGGGAAACUAACUAAAGUUGUCAGAUUGAUAUAUGUUCUUGAUGCAUUUUUUUCUCUGAACAUAAAUCGAAAUAGGUCAAGAAGAAAUAGGUGAUGAGCAGAGAAAAACAAUGGAUGAAGGCAGGCGGAAGAACACAGAAACAAAGAGGAAGAAAAAGGAAAAAAUAGGUGACGAGCAUCCAGACACUUUAAAAAAAUUGAGUAUGUUCGGAUUGAGCUAUGGAUUUCCGUUGGGUAUGUCAAGCGAAGAGCCCCCUAGUAAGUCUAUAAGCUGAAUGCUGAGUUACAAUUAAAUACUGCACUAUGCUUUGCAAUACGAGAAUAAGCCCUCCUUGAUGGAUACACCAAAACGAAAAGAACUAAAGUUGUCUGAUUUUUUUUCUUUAUAUUUUUUAUGGGAAACUAACUAAAGUUGUCUGAUUGAUAUAUGUCCUUGAUGCAUUUUUUUCUCUGAACAUAAAUCGAAAUAGGUCAAGAAGAAAUAGGCGAUGAGCAUCAAGACAGCCAAGAGCUCCCCAGUAAGUCUAUAAGCUGAAUGCUGAGCUAUAAUUCAAUAUUGCACUAUGCUCUGCAAUACGAGAAUAUGCCCUCCUUGAUGGAUACACCAAAACGAAAAGAACUAAAGUUGUUAGAUUUUUAUUUUUAUUUUUUUUUUGGAAACUAACUAAAGUUGUCUGAUUGAUAUAUGUUCUUGAUGCUUUUUUUUCUUUGAACAUAAAUCAAAAUAGGUCAAGAAGAAAUAGGUGAUGAGCAUCAAGACAGCAAAGAGCUCCUUAGUAAGUCUAUAAGCUGAAUGCUGAGCUACAAUUAAAUACUGCACUAUGUUCUGCUAUACGAGAUUAUGCCCUCCUUGAUGGAUACACCAAAAUGAAAAGAAAUAAAGUUGUCAAUUUUUUUUUUUGGGAAACUAAUUAAAGUUGUCUGAUUGAUAUAUGUUCUUAAUGCAUUUUUUUCUCUGAACAUAAUUUGAAAUAGGUCAAGAAGAAAUAGGCGUUGAGCAUCAAGACAACGAAAAGCUCCCCAGUAAGUCUAUUAGCUAAAUGCUGAGCUACAAUUAAAUACUGCACUAUGCUCUGCCCUCCUUGAUGGAUACACCAAAAUGAAAAGGACUAAAGUUGUCUGUUUUUUUUUUUUUUUUGGGAAACUAACUAAAAUUGUGUGAUUGAUAUAUGUUCUUGAUGCAUUUUUUUUUUUUUGAACAUAAAUCGAAAUAGGUCAAGAAGAAAUAGGUGAUGAGCAGAGAAACACAAUGGAUGAAGGCAGGCGGAAGAACACAGAAACAAAGAGGAAGAAAAAGGAAAAAAUAGGUGAUGAGCAUCCAUACACUUUCAAAAAGUUGGGUAUGUUCGGAUUGAGCUAUGGAUUUCCGUUGGGUAUGUCAAGCGAAGAGCUCCUUAGUAAGUCUAUAAGCUGAAUGCUGAGCUACAAUUAAAUAAUGCACUAUGUUCUGCAAUAUGAGAAUAAGCCCUCCUUCAUGGAUACACCAAAAUGAAAAGAACUAAAGUUGUCUGAUUUCUUUUUUUAUAUUUUUUAUGGGAAACUAACUAAAGUUCUCUGAUUGAUAUAUGUUCUUGAUGCAUUUUUUUCUCUAAACAUAAAUCGAAAUAGGUCAAGAUGAAAUAGGCGAUGAGCAUCAAGACAGCAAAGAGCUCCCCAGUAAGUCUAUAAGUUGAAUGAUGAGCUACAAUUAAAUACUGCACUAUGCUCUGCAAUACGAGAAUAUGCCCUCCUUGAUGGAUAGACCAAAACGAAAAGAACUAAAGUUGUCUGAUUUUUUUUUUUUUUU